Molecule: transfer RNA, 91 nt
Filed under: Gammaproteobacteria bacterium
Lineage: Bacteria; Pseudomonadati; Pseudomonadota; Gammaproteobacteria
Also listed under: 3 other names
Description: tRNA-Ser
Rfam family: tRNA
About the family: Transfer RNA (tRNA) molecules are approximately 80 nucleotides in length.
Source: RNAcentral
GGAUGGGUGGCCGAGCGGUUUAAGGCAGCGGUCUUGAAAACCGCCAUACGUGAAAUGCGUAUCGUGGGUUCGAAUCCCACCCCAUCCGCCA